UACGGAGGGUGCAAGCGUUGUCCGGAUUUAUUGGGUUUAAAGGGUGCGUAGGCGGCCCGUUAAGUCAGUGGUGAAAGCCUCCAGCUCAACUGGAGAACUGCCAUUGAUACUGACGGGCUUGAGUACAGACGAGGUUGGCGGAAUUGAUUGUGUAGCGGUGAAAUGCAUAGAUACAAUCAAGAACGCCGAUGGCGUAGGCAGCUAACUAGGCUGUAACUGACGCUGAGGCACGAAAGCGUGGGGAGCGAACAGG
Molecule: ribosomal RNA, 253 nt
Filed under: uncultured bacterium
Lineage: Bacteria
Description: partial 16S ribosomal RNA
Rfam family: Bacterial small subunit ribosomal RNA
Source: RNAcentral